UAGUGGCGAACGGGUGAGUAACACGUGGGCAAUCUGCCCUUCACUCUGGGACAAGCCCUGGAAACGGGGUCUAAUACCGGAUAACACUUCCUGCCGCAUGGUGGGGGGUUAAAAGCUCCGGCGGUGAAGGAUGAGCCCGCGGCCUAUCAGCUUGUUGGUGGGGUGAUGGCCUACCAAGGCGACGACGGGUAGCCGGCCUGAGAGGGCGACCGGCCACACUGGGACUGAGACACGGCCCAGACUCCUACGGGAGGCAGCAGUGGGGAAUAUUGCACAAUGGGCGAAAGCCUGAUGCAGCGACGCCGCGUGAGGGAUGACGGCCUUCGGGUUGUAAACCUCUUUCAGCAGGGAAGAAGCGAAAGUGACGGUACCUGCAGAAGAAGCGCCGGCUAACUACGUGCCAGCAGCCGCGGUAAUACGUAGGGCGCAAGCGUUGUCCGGAAUUAUUGGGCGUAAAGAGCUCGUAGGCGGCUUGUCACGU
This 481-nucleotide ribosomal RNA is filed under the name Streptomyces sp. 313F05. Its description in RNAcentral is "bacterial SSU rRNA". It matches the Rfam family "Bacterial small subunit ribosomal RNA", at positions 93 to 588 of the family's 1533-position model. Lineage: Bacteria; Bacillati; Actinomycetota; Actinomycetes; Kitasatosporales; Streptomycetaceae. The record is from RNAcentral.